This 1001-nucleotide long non-coding RNA is filed under the name Brassica napus (rape). Its description in RNAcentral is "long non-coding RNA (BNAP_LNC019377)". Lineage: Eukaryota; Viridiplantae; Streptophyta; Magnoliopsida; Brassicales; Brassicaceae. The record is from RNAcentral.
GACUCCAAGAAACUCUCUGGGAUGUCUGAGAGUCCGGAACUGCCUCGGAAGAUGAUGGACCGGAAGAAGAUGUCCCGACACCAUCAUGAAACAUCUGAGAGUAAGUAGGUGCUGCUGGCUUUCUUCUAGGAUCCAUCUAGAUUUUUUUUUUAAAUUACAGUUAGUUUUAUCAAUAACGACAUAAUUUAAAAAUAUUAUUCUGAUACCUAACUAAUCACCUAAACUAAUUAUCUAUACUAACCACUUAAAUUAAUUACCUAUACUAACCACUUAAACUAAUUGCCUAUACUAACCACCUAAAACUAAACAAUUAUUUUUAAAAAAAAAUUAGAGAGAGGGAGAGGUUACCUUAGAGGAGUGGAGAGGGAUUUGGGAGGAAUGAACGAGCAAAGCUCGUUCUGAGGCGUCGCCUAUAUAUAAGAAAAGGCAUUUCUCGUAAAGUCAUCGUAAAGUUAUGAAGAAGUUACCAGGCCCGCGUUUUUUCAUUUACGACGAAAUUACCAGGCCCGCUUUUUUCAUUUACGAUGAAGUUACCAGGCCGGUGUUUUUAAAGUUACAACGAAUUUACGUGGAAAAUAUACGACGAAUUUACGUGGACCAGGUUAUGAAGAAUUUACCAGUCGCGUGUUUUUAAUGUUGCAACGAAUUUACGUAGAAAAUUUACAACGAAUUUACGUGGAAAAUUUACGACGAAUUUAUGUGGACCAAGUUACGACGAAUUUACUAGGCCCGUGUUUUUGUUUACGGCGACUUUACGAGUCUUAACCCUAAACCCUGAAACCAGAAAACCUAAACCCCAAAGUUAUUUAUCUUAUAACAUCAUCUUCUUCUUUACAUCUUCUUCCUCUUUAUCCAACUUAAACCCUAAACUCCAAAUUAAGUUUUUAAAACAAAAAAAAACAUAUUAUAUAAAACAACAUAUGUUACACAUACAUUUAGGGGGGUGUAUUCAGUUGAGAGUUUUAGGUGAUUUGUGUCAAAAUGACAAAUCCACUGUUAUU